Molecule: ribosomal RNA, 498 nt
Filed under: Triticum aestivum (bread wheat)
Lineage: Eukaryota; Viridiplantae; Streptophyta; Magnoliopsida; Poales; Poaceae
Description: partial small subunit ribosomal RNA
Source: RNAcentral
AUGCUGCGCGCCGCCGUUCUCGCCGUCGUCACCGGCUUCGCCGCCGCCGGAUUCAUCUCAAAUGACGCGCUCCAAUCGCACUCGCACGGCGGCGCCGGCCGGAGCUUGCUGCAGGCCAAGAAGGAAUGCCCGGUGACCUUCGAGGGGGCCAACUACACCCUCAUCACGAGCAAGUGUAAAGGGCCCCUGUACCAGCCGGCGCUGUGCUGCCCGGCGCUCACGGAGUUCGCGUGCCCCUACGACACCUACAUCAACGACGUCGCCACCAACUGCGCCGCCACCAUGUUCAGCCUCAUCCACCUCUACGGCAAGUACCCGGCGGGGCUCUUCGCCAAUACAUGCAAGGGGGACAACCUGGGGCUCAAAUGCCCUGAGGACGUCCCGCAGGUCCAGCCGGGCGAGGAGGGCAAGAGCUCCGCCGCCGUUGCUACUGCCGCACAGGCGGCACUCGCCGCGGCCAGCGCGGCUGUCAUGUCCCUGCUCAUUGUAAUGUCUUGA